GAGAGAUUAGUCUAGUGGUAAGGCAAUCGCUUCGGUAGCGAGAUUCCCCGGGUUCGAUUCCUGGAUCUCUCA
Tritrichomonas musculus is the source of this 72-nucleotide non-coding RNA. Lineage: Eukaryota; Parabasalia; Tritrichomonadida; Tritrichomonadidae. The record is from the annotation of a GenBank genome assembly.